Molecule: ribosomal RNA, 429 nt
Filed under: Acidobacteriota bacterium
Lineage: Bacteria; Pseudomonadati; Acidobacteriota
Description: Acidobacteria bacterium partial 16S ribosomal RNA
Rfam family: Bacterial small subunit ribosomal RNA
Source: RNAcentral
UGGGGAAUUUUGGACAAUGGGGGCAACCCUGAUCCAGCAAUGCCGCGUGUGUGAAGAAGGCCUUCGGGUUGUAAAGCACUUUUGUCCGGGAAGAAAUCGCACCUGAUAAUACCGGGUGUGGUUGACGGUACCGGAAGAAUAAGGACCGGCUAACUACGUGCCAGCAGCCGCGGUAAUACGUAGGGUCCAAGCGUUAAUCGGAAUUACUGGGCGUAAAGCGUGCGCAGGCGGUUGUGCAAGACCGAUGUGAAAUCCCCGGGCUUAACCUGGGAAUUGCAUUGGUGACUGCACGGCUAGAGUGUUUCAGAGGGGAGUAGAAUUCCACGUGUAGCAGUGAAAUGCGUAGAGAUGAGGAGGAAUACCGAUGGCGAAGGCAGCCCCCUGGGAUAACACUGACGCUCAUGCACGAAAGCGUGGGGAGCAAACAGG